Long non-coding RNA from Macadamia integrifolia, 293 nucleotides. RefSeq lists it as uncharacterized. NCBI's taxonomy places the organism in Eukaryota, Viridiplantae, Streptophyta, Magnoliopsida, Proteales, Proteaceae. The transcript has 3 exons. The record is from RefSeq and is a predicted model, not a curated record.
GGAAGGGAGAAAAGAGAAGAAGAAGAAGAAGAAGAAGAAGAAGAAGGGAGGAGCAAGGAUUUUCCUACCAAGUAAGGAGUAGAACCAAGAGGUGAUGAGACACGGUGCAAGGCCAUCGGCGGUCCAUCAUCACUUAGGACUCGAGAUGAUGAUGCAGGUACCGUGGUGCCUAUGGUGUAUGACCCAGUAUCUUCUGGGUCAGAGUAUGGUGUGAGUGACUGGUGGAUGCCAGAAGUGAGGGAGCACGAUCAAGACUGUGCUUGCAACCACUAUGCUUACGCCACGCCGUGAGA